GGGACGGGACACAGCCGGAAAAUGGAUAUAAACUGGACUAUGAAACCCAGGGAGCCCAGCUAUAGAAACUUCCCAAAUCUCGUCUUACUCCUCCUCCGUGCUAAUUUUCUGGUACCGCUGAGGAUUCUCUGAGUUGCUGCUUUUCCCCGGUAGGCCGGGGCAGGCCGGGCCGGUCGCCAGCCCGGGGACAGCUCUGCCAUUGCCACCGGCCUUACCACUGGCCCCGCGGCCCCGUCGCAGCCCCCUGCCCCGUCAGGCGCAGAAGCACCCAGCUCGACCCUUCCAGAUCAUGUAAAAAUAUCACAAAAUAUAUCUUUCCAUGGGGGAAAGGGCGUUUUUUCCCCGGUAAUCCGCCCGCCGUUGGCGGGCAAGGCUGUCUCACCCCCAGCCAGCCCCGCUCCCCAAGGUCACGAAUGCAAAUGUAGCCUGCCGGCGGUGAAUGGGCUGAAUUGUGAUUAAGAAGAAGAAGAGCUCCUUUCUUUGUUCUCCCCUCAGGGGAUGUUUACUGGGAGAGACACAGCGGAUCAGAUAUGAAAGGCAUUCAGGUCAGCAUUGAUGUGAGCGAAAGUGAAAUCAUACCUAAGGCAUUCAAAAGACCGCCGUGUCAGGGGUUCAGCUAACGGUGCAUCUACUGUAUCUUCCCUGUUAGGCACAAGGGAAAAAAAAAAAAUCUCCACAAACAGGCAUUUUUUAAAAUUACAAGAAAAAUUAUAUAGAGGGAAAAAAAAGUUUUCCCUCGCUUUACCUCCCGAGCAGAAGCUACAGGACUUGGUGCUUUUCUCCUUUAUGAUCAUGGACGGAACAGGUCAACUUGUAUUAAUCGUAGCUGUUGGGAUCAGCAUUCUUUUUAAGGAAAAAUGAUCUAGCCUGAAUUGUGAACCGUUAUUUUCAGGCGCACCUAUACCUACCCUAUCUGUGCACACACCAUACAUACACGCCUAAGUGUAUAUGCAUGUAUACAUCUCUCUCUCUCUCACUAAGUUUCAAGAAGCUGCGUAGCUUAUUUAUUCUGAUACAAAACACAAGCAAUCGCUUCUUGCCUCCCUCAGAAGCAACUUCAAUGAUAAAGGACAGUGUGGCAUAUCAAAACAGCACAGUACACCUUAGAAAGUAAUCUUGUCUGAGCUUGGAAACUCCUAGAAACACUUUGCUGCAAGCUCACAGCGCAUGAGGAUGUCAACCACAGGCGUGAGAAGUUGGUGCACAGCUAUUUAAGUUAAACUGCUUCAAGGAAAAGUCUAGGCAUUGUCGUUUUUCUCAUUAAAAAUGCUUGAUGGAGAAAUA
Molecule: long non-coding RNA, 1284 nt
Organism: Pezoporus occidentalis (night parrot)
Lineage: Eukaryota; Metazoa; Chordata; Aves; Psittaciformes; Psittacidae
Exons: 2
Source: RefSeq, a predicted model, not a curated record